GACGAACGCUGGCGGCGUGCCUAAUACAUGCAAGUAGAACGCAGUUGCGAACGGGUGAGUAACGCGUAGGUAACUGCCUCAUAGCGGGGGAUCACUAUUGGAAACGCUAGCUAAUACCGCAUACUGUGAGAUGGACCUGCGUUGUAUUAGCUAGUUGGGGAGGUAAAGGCUCACCAAGGCGACGAUACAUAGCCGACCUGAGAGGGGGAACGGCCACAAUGGGACUGAGAACCGGACCAGACCCCGAAGGGAGGACGCAGUAGGGAAUCUUCGGCAAUGGACUGAAGUCUGACCGAGCAACGACGGGUGAGAGAAGAAGGUUUUCGGAUCGUAAAGCUCUGUUGUUAGAGAAGCGGUAACUAACGAGAAAGUGACGGCUAACUACGUGCCAGCAGCCGAGGGAAGUC
Molecule: ribosomal RNA, 407 nt
Filed under: uncultured bacterium
Lineage: Bacteria
Description: partial 16S ribosomal RNA
Rfam family: Bacterial small subunit ribosomal RNA
Source: RNAcentral